CUGACACAGGGAGGUAGUGACAAAAUAUACCAAUACAGGGCAUCUAAUGUCUUGUAAUUGGAAUGAGAACAAUUUAAAUCCCUUAUCGAGGAUCCAUUGGAGGGCAAGUCUGGUGCCAGCAGCCGCGGUAAUUCCAGCUCCAAUAGCGUAUAUUAAAGUUGUUGCAGUUAAAAAGCUCGUAGUCAGAUUUUGGCACCAUGCCGAACUGUCUGCCGAUUGGUAUGCACGGUUUGGCGGGUGCUUCCUUCCGGAAGCCCGCGUUCUUCUUCACUGAAGAGCGUGGUGAGUCCGGAUCAUUUACUUUGAAAAAAUUGAGUGUUCAAAGCAGGCCUAUGCUCUGAAUAGGUUAGCAUGGAAUAAUAGAAUAGGACUUCGGUACUAUUUUGUUGGUUUCUAGGACCGAAGUAAUG
Molecule: ribosomal RNA, 410 nt
Filed under: uncultured picobiliphyte
Lineage: Eukaryota; Picozoa
Description: SSU rRNA
Rfam family: Eukaryotic small subunit ribosomal RNA
Source: RNAcentral